RNAcentral lists this transfer RNA (82 nucleotides) under Rhodococcus opacus. Its description in RNAcentral is "tRNA-Leu". It matches the Rfam family "tRNA". Rfam says of the family: Transfer RNA (tRNA) molecules are approximately 80 nucleotides in length. Their secondary structure includes four short double-helical elements and three loops (D, anti-codon, and T loops). The record is from RNAcentral. RNAcentral also lists the same sequence under 1 other name. Lineage: Bacteria; Bacillati; Actinomycetota; Actinomycetes; Mycobacteriales; Nocardiaceae.
GCGCGAGUGGCGGAAGGGCAGACGCGUCAGGCUUAGAACCUGAUGUCCGAUGGACGUGGGGGUUCGAAUCCCCCCUCGCGCA